RNAcentral lists this ribosomal RNA (301 nucleotides) under uncultured bacterium. RNAcentral describes it as "partial 16S ribosomal RNA". It matches the Rfam family "Bacterial small subunit ribosomal RNA", at positions 509 to 808 of the family's 1533-position model. The record is from RNAcentral.
CAGUCGCCGCGGUAAUACGCAUGUCACAAGCGUUAUCCGGAUUUAUUGGGCGUAAAGCGCGUCUAGGUGGUUAUGUAAGUCUGAUGUGAAAAUGCAGGGCUCAACUCUGUAUUGCGUUGGAAACUGUGUAACUAGAGUACUGGAGAGGUAAGCGGAACUACAAGUGUAGAGGUGAAAUUCGUAGAUAUUUGUAGGAAUGCCGAUGGGGAAGCCAGCUUACUGGACAGAUACUGACGCUAAAGCGCGAAAGCGUGGGUAGCAAACAGGAUUAGAUACCCCUGUAGUCCCUGUCUCUUAUACA